UCUCUCUCAGCUCUGAGAGAACAGCUCACGGAAUGACUUUGCCAAUAUUAAUCAGAAUCAGCUGUAUGAACUACAGGAUACCAGUGCGAGGAAAAGGCAGAGGGUAUCACAGAUCUGCUUCACCUCAGUUUUUCUUCAAUGUCGAUGUCCCACCAGGUGUGGCUGGCCACUCUCUUUAAAACGACCCGCUGUGUGUUUGAGCGUGCAAGGUGAUCUUAAAGCAGACUACCUGUGAGCUUCAAACACUGCGGCAAGGAUUAUAUGAUUAGCA
This is a long non-coding RNA of Nerophis lumbriciformis (worm pipefish), 271 nucleotides long. RefSeq lists it as uncharacterized. NCBI's taxonomy places the organism in Eukaryota, Metazoa, Chordata, Actinopteri, Syngnathiformes, Syngnathidae. The record is from RefSeq and is a predicted model, not a curated record.